UGGUCCGUUGUAUUAUUCAGA
Molecule: non-coding RNA, 21 nt
Organism: Caenorhabditis elegans
Lineage: Eukaryota; Metazoa; Nematoda; Chromadorea; Rhabditida; Rhabditidae
Source: Ensembl